Molecule: ribosomal RNA, 197 nt
Filed under: Sphingobium sp.
Lineage: Bacteria; Pseudomonadati; Pseudomonadota; Alphaproteobacteria; Sphingomonadales; Sphingobiaceae
Description: partial 16S ribosomal RNA
Rfam family: Bacterial small subunit ribosomal RNA
Source: RNAcentral
UCAAACUUGAGAGUUUGAUCCUGGCUCAGAACGAACGCUGGCGGCAUGCCUAAUACAUGCAAGUCGAACGAGAUCUUCGGAUCUAGUGGCAGACGGGGGAGUAACGCGUGGGAACCUGCCCAGUAGUAGAGAAUAACUUGGGGAAACUUAAGCUAAUACUUUAUACGUCCUUCGGGAGAAAGCUUUAUGCGCUAUUG